CCUACGGGCGGCAGCAGUAGGGAAUAUUGGACAAUGGGCGAAAGCCUGAUCCAGCCAUGCCGCGUGAUAGAUGAAGGCCCUCUGGGUUGUAAAUAUCUUUUAUCUGGGAAGAAACAAUCUUAUUCUUAAGAUCUUGACGGUACCAGAGGAAUAAGCACCGGCUAACUCCGUGCCAGCAGCCGCGGUAAUACGGAGGGUGCAGGCGUCAUCGGGAUUCACGGGGGCGAAGGGGGGCGGAGACGGGCGGAGUGAAAGCUCCGAGCUUAACUUGGAAACUGCCAUGGAUACUGCCAGUCUUGAAUGUCGUAGAGGUAAGCGGAAUGUUGCAUGUAGCGGUGAAAUGCUUAGAUAUGUUACAGAACACCAAUUGCGAAGGCAGCUUACUAUGCGAUGAUUGACGCUGAGGCACGAAAGCGUGGGGAGCAAACAGGAUUAGAUACCCCUGUAGUC
Molecule: ribosomal RNA, 450 nt
Filed under: uncultured bacterium
Lineage: Bacteria
Description: partial 16S ribosomal RNA
Rfam family: Bacterial small subunit ribosomal RNA
Source: RNAcentral